UGCUGGAGGUAUCAGAAGUGCGAAUGCUGACAUAAGUAACGAUAAAGCGGGUGAAAAGCCCGCUCGCCGGAAGACCAAGGGUUCCUGUCCAACGUUAAUCGGGGCAGGGUGAGUCGACCCCUAAGGCGAGGCCGAAAGGCGUAGUCGAUGGGAAACAGGUUAAUAUUCCUGUACUUGGUGUUACUGCGAAGGGGGGACGGAGAAGGCUAUGUUGGCCGGGCGACGGUUGUCCCGGUUUAAGCGUGUAGGCUGGUUUUCCAGGCAAAUCCGGAAAACCAAGGCUGAGGCGUGAUGACGAGGCACUACGGUGCUGAAGCGACAAAUGCCCUGCUUCCAGGAAAAGCCUCUAAGCAUCAGGUAACAUCAAAUCGUACCCCAAACCGACACAGGUGGUCAGGUAGAGAAUACCAAGGCGCUUGAGAGAACUCGGGUGAAGGAACUAGGCAAAAUGGUGCCGUAACUUCGGGAGAAGGCACGCUGAUAUGUAGGUGAAGCGACUUGCUCGUGGAGCUGAAAUCAGUCGAAGAUACCAGCUGGCUGCAACUGUUUAUUAAAAACACAGCACUGUGCAAACACGAAAGUGGACGUAUACGGUGUGACGCCUGCCCGGUGCCGGAAGGUUAAUUGAUGGGGUUAGCGGUAACGCGAAGCUCUUGAUCGAAGCCCCGGUAAACGGCGGCCGUAACUAUAACGGUCCUAAGGUAGCGAAAUUCCUUGUCGGGUAAGUUCCGACCUGCACGAAUGGCGUAAUGAUGGCCAGGCUGUCUCCACCCGAGACUCAGUGAAAUUGAACUCGCUGUGAAGAUGCAGUGUACCCGCGGCAAGACGGAAAGACCCCGUGAACCUUUACUAUAGCUUGACACUGAACAUUGAGCCUUGAUGUGUAGGAUAGGUGGGAGGCUUUGAAGUGUGGACGCCAGUCUGCAUGGAGCCGACCUUGAAAUACCACCCUUUAAUGUUUGAUGUUCUAACGUUGGCCCCUAAUCGGGGUUGCGGACAGUGUCUGGUGGGUAGUUUGACUGGGGCGGUCUCCUCCUAAAGAGUAACGGAGGAGCACGAAGGUUGGCUAAUCCUGGUCGGACAUCAGGAGGUUAGUGCAAUGGCAUAAGCCAGCUUGACUGCGAGCGUGACGGCGCGAGCAGGUGCGAAAGCAGGUCAUAGUGAUCCGGUGGUUCUGAAUGGAAGGGCCAUCGCUCAACGGAUAAAAGGUACUCCGGGGAUAACAGGCUGAUACCGCCCAAGAGUUCAUAUCGACGGCGGUGUUUGGCACCUCGAUGUCGGCUCAUCACAUCCUGGGGCUGAAGUAGGUCCCAAGGGUAUGGCUGUUCGCCAUUUAAAGUGGUACGCGAGCUGGGUUUAGAACGUCGUGAGACAGUUCGGUCCCUAUCUGCCGUGGGCGCUGGAGAACUGAGGGGGGCUGCUCCUAGUACGAGAGGACCGGAGUGGACGCAUCACUGGUGUUCGGGUUGUCAUGCCAAUGGCACUGCCCGGUAGCUAAAUGCGGAAGAGAUAAGUGCUGAAAGCAUCUAAGCACGAAACUUGCCCCGAGAUGAGUUCUCCCUGACUCCUUGAGGGUCCUGAAGGAACGUUGAAGACGACGACGUUGAUAGGCCGGGUGUGUAAGCGCAGCGAUGCGUUGAGCUAACCGGUACUAAUGAACCGUGAGGCUUAACCUU
RNAcentral lists this ribosomal RNA (1676 nucleotides) under Escherichia coli. RNAcentral describes it as "bacterial LSU rRNA". It matches the Rfam family "Bacterial large subunit ribosomal RNA", at positions 1271 to 2925 of the family's 2925-position model. The record is from RNAcentral. Lineage: Bacteria; Pseudomonadati; Pseudomonadota; Gammaproteobacteria; Enterobacterales; Enterobacteriaceae.